UGAGGUACCUCGGGGGGCCCAUUUGGGCUGAGAUGCUGUUCCAGCGGACCCGUAGAACCUGAACCGGUUAGCACCGGCGGAGGGAAGGUCGAGAUCCUCUCA
This 102-nucleotide non-coding RNA is filed under the name Boseongicola aestuarii. RNAcentral's name for it is "TPP sequence". It matches the Rfam family "TPP riboswitch aptamer (THI element)". Rfam says of the family: Vitamin B(1) in its active form thiamin pyrophosphate (TPP) is an essential coenzyme that is synthesised by coupling of pyrimidine and thiazole moieties in bacteria. The previously detected thiamin-regulatory element, thi box was extended, resulting in a new, highly conserved RNA secondary structure, the THI element, which is widely distributed in eubacteria and also occurs in some archaea. Analysis of operon structures identified a large number of new candidate thiamin-regulated genes, mostly transporters, in various prokaryotic organisms. The record is from Rfam by way of RNAcentral. Lineage: Bacteria; Pseudomonadati; Pseudomonadota; Alphaproteobacteria; Rhodobacterales; Paracoccaceae.